GACGAACGCUGGCGGCGUGCUUAACACAUGCAAGUCGAACGGAAAGGCCCUGCGUUUGUGGGGUGCUCGAGUGGCGAACGGGUGAGUAACACGUGAGUAACCUGCCCUGGACUUUGGGAUAACUUCAGGAAACUGGGGCUAAUACCGGAUAGGAGCUCCUGCUGCAUGGUGGGGGUUGGAAAGUUUCGGCGGUUGGGGAUGGACUCGCGGCUUAUCAGCUUGAUGGUGGGGUAGUGGCUUACCAAGGCUUUGACGGGUAGCCGGCCUGAGCGGGUGACCGGCCACAUUGGGACUGAGAUACGGCCCAGACUCCUACGGGAGGCAGCAGUGGGGAAUAUUGCACAAUGGGCGGAAGCCUGAUGCAGCAACGCCGCGUGCGGGAUGACGGCCUUCGGGUUGUAAACCGCUUUCGCCUGUGACGAAGCGUGAGUGACGGUAAUGGGUAAAGAAGCACCGGCUAACUACGUG
Molecule: ribosomal RNA, 468 nt
Filed under: uncultured bacterium
Lineage: Bacteria
Description: partial 16S ribosomal RNA
Rfam family: Bacterial small subunit ribosomal RNA
Source: RNAcentral